ACUCUAGGCGGUGGAUCACUCGGCUCGUGCGUCGAUGAAGCGCAGCCAACUGCGUGGUGUGUAAAGUGCGGGGCACAUUGAACAUCGACAUCUUGAAACAUUGCGGCUUUGGGUCCUCGGGCCACACGCCUGUCUGAG
RNAcentral lists this ribosomal RNA (138 nucleotides) under Mytilus coruscus. RNAcentral's name for it is "5.8S ribosomal RNA". It matches the Rfam family "5.8S ribosomal RNA". From Rfam's summary of the family: 5.8S ribosomal RNA (5.8S rRNA) is a component of the large subunit of the eukaryotic ribosome. It is transcribed by RNA polymerase I as part of the 45S precursor that also contains 18S and 28S rRNA. Lineage: Eukaryota; Metazoa; Mollusca; Bivalvia; Mytilida; Mytilidae. The record is from RNAcentral.